Spinacia oleracea (spinach) is the source of this 946-nucleotide long non-coding RNA. RefSeq lists it as uncharacterized. The record is from RefSeq and is a predicted model, not a curated record. The transcript is spliced from 2 exons. Lineage: Eukaryota; Viridiplantae; Streptophyta; Magnoliopsida; Caryophyllales; Amaranthaceae.
UUUACCAAUUAUAACUCAAUAAAGUUCUCACUUUAUGAAUUACAACCUCAAACUUUCGAUUUUGUGAAUUACAACAUCAAACUUAAUCUCAUACUUUAAAUUACUACCCGAUAUUAUAUUCCGACGAAAACAAUCGGAUUAUGAUGUCAUAAAUAUAUUUGAAACUUAAUUAAAUAAUUUCCAAAAAAAACUCAUUAAUCAUAAAUUAAGAAAAAAUACGGAGUAUCCAAUUACCUUUUCCAUUCAUGAUUCAUCCCACUUUUCGUUACAACCUCCUCUAUCUUCUACUCCCCUCCCUCCUCCAUUUAAACUUUGCUCCUCAAUAACUCAUCUCAGCUACCAAACUUUCAAGCUUCAAAUAUGAGAUUAUUAGUUUGAUUCUUUCAUAAUUUGACUCGCUCGAUUCUCUUUCUGUGUGCUCUCUCUGUAUUCUGUGAACAUCGGGCGCCAUAAAAGGUUGAAUGUUGGAAGCUUCAACUAUGGUGACAUGGAAAGGUACAAUGCAAGUUCUGCUGCCAAUUAGCAACUGAUACUAUUUAUGUGCCUGAUGCAGAAAAUACGAGCUUGGGAUGAUGCUUGUUGUUUUUGCCUUGAUGAUGAUGAUGAUGAUGAUGCAGUAGUGAUGAUGUAGAUGUAGUGGUUAAGAUGUAGUAGUGUUUUUGCCUUGAUGCAGAUAAUGCAGAUGUUAGGUGUUGAUGAUGAUGAUGAUGAUGAUGUUAGGCUUAAGGUAGUGUUUAGGUUGUAAUUAGGGGUAUGAUCAAGAUGUUGUACUAGCAUUUGGUUGGAUUUUGGCUUAAACUAGUGUAGUAGGUUGUAAUUUAGGUUACGUUGAUAUGGUUUAUGGUUCUUAGUGAUCACGUAAACUCGAGUUAUAUUGACAGUAUUUUGACAGGUUUUAAGUUGAAUUACAAGUGAAUGAAAUGAAAUAUAAUAAUUCUUAGUAAAA